This 70-nucleotide transfer RNA is filed under the name Hippocampus bargibanti (pygmy seahorse). RNAcentral's name for it is "tRNA-Trp". It matches the Rfam family "tRNA". Rfam says of the family: Transfer RNA (tRNA) molecules are approximately 80 nucleotides in length. Their secondary structure includes four short double-helical elements and three loops (D, anti-codon, and T loops). Further hydrogen bonds mediate the characteristic L-shaped molecular structure. tRNAs have two regions of fundamental functional importance: the anti-codon, which is responsible for specific mRNA codon recognition, and the 3' end, to which the tRNAs corresponding amino acid is attached (by aminoacyl-tRNA synthetases). tRNAs cope with the degeneracy of the genetic code in two manners: having more than one tRNA (with a specific anti-codon) for a particular amino acid; and 'wobble' base-pairing, i.e. permitting non-standard base-pairing at the 3rd anti-codon position. The record is from RNAcentral. Lineage: Eukaryota; Metazoa; Chordata; Actinopteri; Syngnathiformes; Syngnathidae.
AAGAAUUUAGGUUAAAAUAGACCAAGAGCCUUCAAAGCUCUAAGCAAAAGUGAAAAUCCUUUAAUUCUUG